AUACGUAGGUGACAAGCGUUAUCCGGAUUUACUGGGUGUAAAGGGAGUGUAGGCGGUUUAGCAAGUCAGAAGUGAAAUUCCCGGGCUUAACUUGGGCGCUGCUUCUGAAACUGCUUUACUUGAGUGCUGGAGAGGAUAGUGGAAUUCCUAGUGUAGCGGUAAAAUGCGCAGAUAUUAGGAGGAACACCGGUGGCGAAGGCGGCUGUCUGGACAGUAACUGACGCUGAGGCGCGAAAGCACGGGGAGCAAACAGGAUUAGAUACCCUGGUAGUCCGUGCCGUAAACGAUGAAUACUAGGUGUAGGGGGUAUCGACUCCCUCUGUGCCGCAGUUAACACAUUAAGUAUUCCACCUGGGGAGUACGGCCGCAAGGUUGAAACUCAAAGGAAUUGACGGGG
This 397-nucleotide ribosomal RNA is filed under the name uncultured bacterium. Its description in RNAcentral is "partial 16S ribosomal RNA". It matches the Rfam family "Bacterial small subunit ribosomal RNA", at positions 523 to 918 of the family's 1533-position model. The record is from RNAcentral.